GGAAGAGAAAUCAGAAUAACACAACUACUGCAAGCAAAAUAGACUUUGCCGAAGACAGCCCGAGACGCAAGGAUUUGCCCCAAAAUACGGACUGAAUACCUCAUUGUGUUAGGCACUCGCUGGGUAUUGGCAAAGUCAAGAUGCCUUAGUGCCUGGCCACUCAGUCAGGUCUGCAGGACAGUAUUGGCACCACGUGGGAGCGUGUUGGAAAUACAGAUUCUCGGGCCCUGCCUCACCACUACCAACUUCAAAUCUGCACUUGAAUGAGAUCUCCAGGUUA
This 280-nucleotide long non-coding RNA is filed under the name Suricata suricatta (meerkat). Its description in RNAcentral is "lncRNA (ENSSSUG00005009137.1)". Lineage: Eukaryota; Metazoa; Chordata; Mammalia; Carnivora; Herpestidae. The record is from RNAcentral.